RNAcentral lists this ribosomal RNA (471 nucleotides) under uncultured bacterium. RNAcentral describes it as "partial 16S ribosomal RNA". It matches the Rfam family "Bacterial small subunit ribosomal RNA", at positions 28 to 506 of the family's 1533-position model. The record is from RNAcentral.
GACGAACGCUGGCGGCGUGCUUAACACAUGCAAGUCGAACGCUGAAGCUUGGUGCUUGCACUGGGUGGAUGAGUGGCGAACGGGUGAGUAAUACGUGAGUAACCUGCCCUUGACUCUGGGAUAAGCCUGGGAAACUGGGUCUAAUACUGGAUAUGACAUGCCACUGCAUGGUGGUGUGUGGAAAGGGUUUUACUGGUUUUGGAUGGGCUCACGGCCUAUCAGCUUGUUGGUGGGGUAAUGGCCUACCAAGGCGACGACGGGUAGCCGGCCUGAGAGGGUGACCGGCCACACUGGGACUGAGACACGGCCCAGACUCCUACGGGAGGCAGCAGUGGGGAAGAUUGCACAAUGGGCGGAAGCCUGAUGCAGCGACGCCGCGUGAGGGAUGACGGCCUUCGGGUUGUAAACCUCUUUCAGCACGGAAGAAGCGAGAGUGACGGUACGUGCAGAAGAAGCGCCGGCUAACUACGU